GUGGGGAAUAUUGGACAAUGGGCGAAAGCCUGAUCCAGCAAUGCCGCGUGAGUGAAGAAGGCCUUCGGGUUGUAAAGCUCUUUUACCCGGGAAGAUAAUGACUGUACCGGGAGAAUAAGCCCCGGCUAACUCCGUGCCAGCAGCCGCGGUAAUACGGAGGGGGCUAGCGUUGUUCGGAAUUACUGGGCGUAAAGCGCACGUAGGCGGCUUUACAAGUCAGGGGUGAAAGCCCGCGGCUCAACCGCGGAAUUGCCCUUGAGACUGUAUCGCUAGAACACGGGAGAGGUGAGUGGAAUUCCGAGUGUAGAGGUGAAAUUCGUAGAUAUUCGGAAGAACACCAGUGGCGAAGGCGGCUCACUGGACCGUAGUUGACGCUGAGGUGCGAAAGCGUGGGGAGCAAACAGGAUUAGAUACCCUAGUAGUCC
RNAcentral lists this ribosomal RNA (425 nucleotides) under uncultured bacterium. RNAcentral describes it as "bacterial SSU rRNA". It matches the Rfam family "Bacterial small subunit ribosomal RNA", at positions 354 to 796 of the family's 1533-position model. The record is from RNAcentral.